RNAcentral lists this small nuclear RNA (158 nucleotides) under Dipodomys ordii (Ord's kangaroo rat). Its description in RNAcentral is "U2 spliceosomal RNA". It matches the Rfam family "U2 spliceosomal RNA". From Rfam's summary of the family: U2 is a small nuclear RNA (snRNA) component of the spliceosome (involved in pre-mRNA splicing). Complementary binding between U2 snRNA (in an area lying towards the 5' end but 3' to hairpin I) and the branchpoint sequence (BPS) of the intron results the bulging out of an unpaired adenosine, on the BPS, which initiates a nucleophilic attack at the intronic 5' splice site, thus starting the first of two transesterification reactions that mediate splicing. The record is from Rfam by way of RNAcentral. Lineage: Eukaryota; Metazoa; Chordata; Mammalia; Rodentia; Heteromyidae.
CCUCCUUCUCAGCCUUUUGGCUAAGAUCAAGUGUAGUAUCACUAAACUUCUGAAGGCAUAGUUUGCAAAGUUCAUAUCAAUUUACUAGACUACGAUGAUGUCAUUUUAAUAUUGAUAUCUAUCUUUCCAUUAACAUUAUCAAUCUGAAUGAAGCUUCA